RNAcentral lists this unclassified non-coding RNA (399 nucleotides) under soil metagenome. RNAcentral describes it as "partial contains 5.8S ribosomal RNA, internal transcribed spacer 2, and large subunit ribosomal RNA". The stretch from base 1 to 120 matches the Rfam family "5.8S ribosomal RNA", at positions 35 to 154 of the family's 154-position model. The record is from RNAcentral.
GAUGAAGAACGUAGCGAAAUGCGAUACUUGGUGUGAAUUGCAGAAUCCCGUGAACCAUCGAGUCUUUGAACGCAAGUUGCGCCCGAAGCCUCGGCUAAGGGCACGUCUGCCUGGGCGUCACGCAUCGCGUCUCCCCCAAACCGCCAAGGCGGAGGGGAAGGAAGAUGGCUUCCCGUGCCUCACCCGGCGCGGUUGGCCUAAAUUUGGAGCCCGCGGCACUUAGCUCACGCGGCGAUGGGUGGUGAACAAGGCCUUGGCCGUGCAAACAACCCGCUGCGAAGCUCUAUGUCACGUGCGCUCGUCGGACCCUUUGAAGUUGCCUUCGGUGACUUAAAACCUUUGCGACCCCAGGUCAGGCGGGGCUACCCGCUGAAUUUAAGCAUAUCAAUAAGCGGAGGA